RNAcentral lists this long non-coding RNA (1166 nucleotides) under Salmo salar (Atlantic salmon). RNAcentral's name for it is "lncRNA (ENSSSAG00000118351.1)". Lineage: Eukaryota; Metazoa; Chordata; Actinopteri; Salmoniformes; Salmonidae. The record is from RNAcentral.
GCUUCUUAGAAUGCAUUCUCCAAAAGCCACAAAAUACACCUGCAUGGAUUUCUACAAAUACCACGGGAGUCUCUUACAUUUGGGAACUUUACAGUCCUAUUGGUCAAACAACCAUGAAAAGCUAAUGCUGCAAUGACACAGGGAAAUUCCCGAUGAAAAGCUUGCCUCCCUCCCGGCCUCCACCAGCCUAUACUGGAAACUACUUCCCUCCAAUGUACUAUACACUUGGCUAUCAUACUGGUACAUGGCCUCCGUUGUGUUGCUGUUUUGAUGGGCCCCAGCAUUUAAUCGCAUUGAACUGGUCGUCGUGCCACUGCCUUGCCACCAUGUCGCACCUCUCCCCCCACCUCCCUUGAAGAAUAAAGGAACAUAAUGGACGCUUUUUGAGGACCAGGAGGCAUGUCACACACCAUAAGCCCAGUGCAAGGCAGCGGUGGAUACACACAGUCUCGCACACCUGCUUCCAGAGAUUCCUGCUCCUUCAUCCUCUACCCUGUCUCCUGAGGGUCCAGCUCAGUGGGUUUCUACCACAAGACCAUACCCUCAGGCUUCCUCUCACAUCAAGCCUCGAGGGUGUCUGAGGCUUCAGUCCCCCUCAGUUUUCAAAUCACGUAGAGGGCUUUGGUUGUUGCACGAUAGCAACCAAAUCCCAUGCAAGUCAGUUUAUGAAAUUCCAUCACUGGUUACUCUGAGAGUUCCUCAUUGACAUUGGCUGCAGCCUCAGGCAUUAUGGUGCUAACUUUGGAAAAGUAUUUCCAAUUUCUACUCCUUCCUGUAUUACUAAUAGGGAUAGACCAAAUAGAACCCCACAGUGGAGAUGUUAUAAUACCCAUAAAACCUAGCAGUCAAACAGGGAAAUGGUUCCAAUCAAACCAGCCUUCGCUUGGCUCCCCCUCCUGUCCAGCUCAGGCGUUCGGCGUCGCUGGCCUUCUAGCUGCUGCUGAACCUGCUGCUGGAUAACGCCCUUCUCUCAUCAACCCCGGACUUGUCUCGUCAUCAUUACACACACCUGGUUCCAAUCUCCACUCUAUCACUGUAUAUAUACUCCCUCUGUCAUUUGUCUUUGAUUGGUCGAUGUAAAUGUUGCUUGUUUUCUUGAGAGGAAUCUCUCCUGCUGUACUUUUAAUAUAUAUAUAUAUUUAAUAAAUUCAGUAGUUCUAAACCCC